GAGGGCAUAGCUCGGUGGUAGAGUGUGUGCUUAGCAUGCACGAGGCCCUGGGUUUAAUCCCCAGUACCUUUA
RNAcentral lists this transfer RNA (72 nucleotides) under Camelus bactrianus (Bactrian camel). It matches the Rfam family "tRNA". From Rfam's summary of the family: Transfer RNA (tRNA) molecules are approximately 80 nucleotides in length. Their secondary structure includes four short double-helical elements and three loops (D, anti-codon, and T loops). The record is from Rfam by way of RNAcentral. Lineage: Eukaryota; Metazoa; Chordata; Mammalia; Artiodactyla; Camelidae. RNAcentral also lists the same sequence under 2 other names.